CUAAAUCUUCAGGGCAGGGUGUAAUUCCCGAUCGGCGGUAUAGUCCGCGAGCCGUAAAUGGCAGAACCGUUUAAAUACGGUACCGACAGUUAAAGUCUGGAAGGAAGAAGAAUUUA
This 116-nucleotide non-coding RNA is filed under the name Bacteroidales bacterium CF. Its description in RNAcentral is "FMN riboswitch aptamer (RFN element)". It matches the Rfam family "FMN riboswitch aptamer (RFN element)". Rfam says of the family: The RFN element is a highly conserved domain that is found frequently in the 5'-untranslated regions of prokaryotic mRNAs that encode for flavin mononucleotide (FMN) biosynthesis and transport proteins. RNAcentral also lists the same sequence under 1 other name. Lineage: Bacteria; Pseudomonadati; Bacteroidota; Bacteroidia; Bacteroidales. The record is from Rfam by way of RNAcentral.